Molecule: ribosomal RNA, 235 nt
Filed under: uncultured Candidatus Saccharibacteria bacterium
Lineage: Bacteria; Candidatus Saccharimonadota
Description: partial 16S ribosomal RNA
Rfam family: Bacterial small subunit ribosomal RNA
Source: RNAcentral
AAGCGAAUAGUGAAAUCUGGCGGCUCAACCGUACAGACUAUUAUCCAAACUGCUAAGCUCGAGAAUGGUAGAGGUAGCUGGAAUUUCUAGUGUAGGAGUGAAAUCCGUAGAUAUUAGAAGGAACACCAAUGGCGUAGGCAGGCUACUGGACCAUUUCUGACGCUAAGGCACGAAAGCGUGGGGAGCGAACCGGAUUAGAUACCCGGGUAGUCCACGCCGUAAACGAUGGAUGCUA